UGCCAGCAGCCGCGGUAAUACGGAGGGGGUUAGCGUUGUUCGGAAUUACUGGGCGCAAAGCGCGCGUAGGCGGAUUGGAAAGUUGGGGGUGAAAUCCCAGGGCUCAACCCUGGAACUGCCUUCGAUACUGGUAGUCUUGAGGUCGAGAGAGGUGAGUGGAAUUCCGAGUGUAGAGGUGAAAUUCGUAGAUAUUCGGAGGAACACCAGUGGCGAAGGCGGCUUUCUGGACCGAUACUGACGCUGAGACGCGAAAGCGUGGGGAGCAAACAGGAUUAGAUA
This 279-nucleotide ribosomal RNA is filed under the name uncultured bacterium. RNAcentral's name for it is "partial 16S ribosomal RNA". It matches the Rfam family "Bacterial small subunit ribosomal RNA", at positions 506 to 784 of the family's 1533-position model. The record is from RNAcentral.